GAGUUUGAUCGUGGCUCAGAUUGAACGCUGGCGGCAUGCCUUACGCAUGCAAGUCGAACGGCAGCAUGAUCUAGCUUGCUAGAUUGAUGGCGAGUGGCGAACGGGUGAGUAAUACAUCGGAACGUGCCCUGUAGUGGGGGAUAACUAGUCGAAAGAUUAGCUAAUACCGCAUACGACCUGAGGGUGAAAGUGGGGGACCGCAAGGCCUCAUGCUAUAGGAGCGGCCGAUGUCUGAUUAGCUAGUUGGUGGGUAAAGGCCCACCAAGGCGACGAUCAGUAGCAGGUCUGAGAGGACGAUCAGCCACACUGGGACUGAGACACGGCCCAGACUCCUACGGGAGGCAGCAGUGGGGAAUUUUGGACAAUGGGCGAAAGCCUGAUCCAGCAAUGCCGCGUGUGUGAAGAAGGCCUCGG
Molecule: ribosomal RNA, 414 nt
Filed under: uncultured microorganism
Description: bacterial SSU rRNA
Rfam family: Bacterial small subunit ribosomal RNA
Source: RNAcentral